GACGAACGCUGGCGGCGUGCUUAACACAUGCAAGUCGAACGGAAAGGCCCUGCUUUUGUGGGGUGCUCGAGUGGCGAACGGGUGAGUAACACGUGAGUAACCUGCCCUUGACUUUGGGAUAACUUCAGGAAACUGGGGCUAAUACCGGAUAGGAGCUCCUGCUGCAUGGUGGGGGUUGGAAAGUUUCGGCGGUUGGGGAUGGACUCGCGGCUUAUCAGCUUGUUGGUGGGGUAGUGGCUUACCAAGGCUUUGACGGGUAGCCGGCCUGAGAGGGUGACCGGCCACAUUGGGACUGAGAUACGGCCCAGACUCCUACGGGAGGCAGCAGUGGGGAAUAUGGCACAAUGGGCGGAGGCCUGAUGCAGCAACGCCGCGUGCGGGAUGACGGCCUUCGGGUUGUAAACCGCUUUCGCCUGUGACGAAGCGUGAGUGACGGUAAUGGGUAAAGAAGCACCGGCUAACUACGUG
RNAcentral lists this ribosomal RNA (468 nucleotides) under uncultured bacterium. Its description in RNAcentral is "partial 16S ribosomal RNA". It matches the Rfam family "Bacterial small subunit ribosomal RNA", at positions 28 to 507 of the family's 1533-position model. The record is from RNAcentral.